AGUGAACGCUGGCGGUAGGCCUAACACAUGCAAGUCGAACGGCAGCACAGUAAGAGCUUGCUCUUACGGGUGGCGAGUGGCGGACGGGUGAGGAAUACAUCGGAAUCUACUUUUUCGUGGGGGAUAACGUAGGGAAACUUACGCUAAUACCGCAUACGACCUACGGGUGAAAGCAGGGGAUCUUCGGACCUUGCGCGAUUGAAUGAGCAGAUGUCGGAUUAGCUAGUUGGCGGGGUAAAGGCCCACCAAGGCGACGAUCCGUAGCUGGUCUGAGAGGAUGAUCAGCCACACUGGAACUGAGACAGGGUCCAGACUCCUACGGGAGGCAGCAGUGGGGAAUAUUGGACAAUGGGCGCAAGCCUGAUCCAGCCAUACCGCGUGGGUGAAGAAGGCCUUCGGGUUGUAAAGCCCUUUUGUUGGGAAAGAAAAGCAGCAGGUUAAUACCCCGCUGUUCUGACGGUACCCAAAGAAUAAGCACCGGCUAACUUCGUG
RNAcentral lists this ribosomal RNA (492 nucleotides) under uncultured bacterium. RNAcentral describes it as "partial 16S ribosomal RNA". It matches the Rfam family "Bacterial small subunit ribosomal RNA", at positions 29 to 507 of the family's 1533-position model. The record is from RNAcentral.